GCGGUGGAAUGCGCAGAUAUCAGGAGGAACACCGAUGGCGAAGGCAGAUCUCUGGGCCGUAACUGACGCUGAGGAGCGAAAGCGUGGGGAGCGAACAGGAUUAGAUACCCUGGUAGUCCACGCCGUAAACGUUGGGAACUAGAUGUGGGGACCAUUCCACGGUCUCCGUGUCGCAGCUAACGCAUUAAGUUCCCCGCCUGGGGAGUACGGCCGCAAGGCUAAAACUCAAAGGAAUUGACGGGGGCCCGCACAAGCGGCGGAGCAUGCGGAUUAAUUCGAUGCAACGCGAAGAACCUUACCAAGGCUUGACAUAUACGAGAACGGGCUAGAAAUAGUCAACUCUUUGGACACUCGUAAACAGGUGGUGCAUGGUUGUCGUCAGCUCGUGUCGUGAGAUGUUGGGUUAAGUCCCGCAACGAGCGCAACCCUCGUUCUAUGUUGCCAGCACGUAAUGGUGGGAACUCAUAGGAGACUGCCGGGGUCAACUCGGAGGAAGGUGGGGAUGACGUCAAAUCAUCAUGCCCCUUAUGUCUUGGGCUUCACGCAUGCUACAAUGGCCGGUACAAAGGGCUGCAAUACCGUAAGGUGGAGCGAAUCCCAAAAAGCCGGUCUCAGUUCGGAUUGAGGUCUGCAACUCGACCUCAUGAAGUCGGAGUCGCUAGUAAUCGCAGAUCAGCAACGCUGCGGUGAAUACGUUCCCGGGCCUUGUACACACCGCCCGUCAAGUCAUGAAAGUCGGUAACACCCGAAGCCGGUGGCCUAACCCUUGUGGAAGGAGC
RNAcentral lists this ribosomal RNA (779 nucleotides) under Leifsonia poae. Its description in RNAcentral is "bacterial SSU rRNA". It matches the Rfam family "Bacterial small subunit ribosomal RNA", at positions 678 to 1453 of the family's 1533-position model. The record is from RNAcentral. Lineage: Bacteria; Bacillati; Actinomycetota; Actinomycetes; Micrococcales; Microbacteriaceae.